RNAcentral lists this ribosomal RNA (494 nucleotides) under uncultured bacterium. RNAcentral's name for it is "partial 16S ribosomal RNA". It matches the Rfam family "Bacterial small subunit ribosomal RNA", at positions 28 to 507 of the family's 1533-position model. The record is from RNAcentral.
GACGAACGCUGGCGGCGUGCUUAACACAUGCAAGUCGAACGGUGAAGCGCCUUCCUUUUUGGUGGGUGUGGAGGAGUGGCGAACGGGUGAGUAACACGUGAGUAACCUGCCCCCUUCUUCUGGAUAACCGCAUGAAAGUGUGGCUAAUACGGGAUAUUCUGGGUCUGUCGCAUGAUGGGUCUGGGAAAGAUAUUGUUUCGGUGGGGGAUGGGGUCGCGGCCUAUCAGCUGGUUGGUGGGGUGAUGGCCUACCAGGGCGGGUGGGGGUAGCCGGCCUGGGAGGGUGGCCGGCCACAGAGGGAGGGAGACGCGACUGGGACUGCUACGGGAGGCAGCAGUGGGGAAUAGGGAACAGUGGGGGAAAGUGUGAUGCAGCGACGCGGCGGGAGGGAUGGAGGCCUGCGGGUGAUGAACCUCUUUCGGCAGUGAAGCAGGCCUGCCUGGUAUGUGGGUGGGUUGACGGUAGCUGGAUAAGAAGCGCCGGCUAACUACGUG